RNAcentral lists this long non-coding RNA (3877 nucleotides) under Olea europaea subsp. europaea. Lineage: Eukaryota; Viridiplantae; Streptophyta; Magnoliopsida; Lamiales; Oleaceae. The record is from RNAcentral.
AGAAAGUUUCUUUCUUAUUUUAACAAAAAGAGAGUUUUUCUUUUAUCAAAAUCUAGAGAUUUAUUCUUUGGAAUUAAUACAGUGAGAGCAAAAAGCUAAAAUAGUAAAAAGUCCAUGAAUACAAGAGGUCGUUGAAGGAAGCAAUUUACAUAUUCAGAGUUCGAAGAUCACUCGGUUCUAAGAAUAAAGAUUCAGAUCAGAACUAAGGUAAAACUAUUAUUUUUUUUCUAAAAUUUGAACGAAUCUUUUUAAGAUAUUAGAGAAUCGUAGGGAUUAUUCGUAUGUUUAAAUGCCAGGAUAUACAAUUGAAGGAUAAGAUAAUCUAUUAGAAUAAAUGUUAAAAGAAAUAAAAUAAUAUCAUUUCUCAAUUAAAAAAUAUAAAUUUAUCAUCUGAAGAAUAUAAUAUAUUAAAUAAAAAAUAUGAACAAUAUGUCGUAAAUUAUUCUAAUUUAUUAGAUCAUAGAAUGGAUUUAUAUUCAAAAAUUCAAAAAUAGAAUAUAGUUCAAAAAGAAUGGGAUAUAUUGUGCAAUAUAAGAAGAAUUAUUUCAUUAAGGGUAAUAUAGACUUUUCUAUGGAUAAAUUAAAAGGAUAUAAAAUUAGGUCAAAUAGAAAAAUCUCCCAUGAAUAACACAAAUACAAGUUCACAAUGAGGCGAAAAAUAUAAUUUUGUGUCUCAUCACACCUGAGGUCAAAAUUGACGUGCUAUAUGGUAUCAGGCAAUCCAUACCGUGAUGUAUCAAGCAAUCAAUAUCACGUAAUGACGAAUAAUUACAUCACAUUGAAUAUAGUAUAAAACAAUAACUAUGAAUAAAGGUUAAGACCCCAUUACUUCCACUUGGUGUCAUAAAAUGUUAUGAUUAAUUUCAUCAGAAAUAUAAAUGGCACGCUUUAUAUUGAGGUUGAAAUUACCCCCAACUGCUUUAUAUCGCAGUCUAAAUUUUUUUAUUACUUGUUAAAAUGUUAGAAUGGGUCAUAAUCAGUUAUGUUACGGCCUAACAUAUCUAAUAUAGUCUUCUUCAAAUUAUGCUAAUACAUUACUAAGUGAUGGAGUCAGAUAUUUUUUAUUGUGGGAUUAAAAUAAGUUUAAAAUGAUAUAACAUUAAUAGUAUGUUGAGACUUUAGAGAUGAGAAGAGAGAUGGUUUAGUGGCUAAAUACUUAUGAUUGAUGCAAGCGUAGAUAGGUGGAGCAGUGACAGACGUUAGAUUUUGAUGUAAUUUACAACUCCUAGAUGUUGAAGAGGAAUGAGAAAUUGAUUAGUGAUUCUAAAUUUUAGCCUCUUGAGGAAAGCUCGAAAGAGUGCUAAGAUGGAGUCGAUAAAUGAUUCUUAGUACAUGCAUGGUAUCAUAGUAUGUUCCACGACUUAACUGGUCAAUUCAAAAAUAUUUUGUAAGUUAAAUAGCAAAACAUGUUCUUACCUUUCAAUGUUACUGUGAUUUGUGCAAGACGUCUAUACCUUUCAUUUUUUGAUAUUUUUACACAUAUUUCAUUGUGUAAAAGGUCAUUUUUAUCCAUUUUUCCAAUAAAAAUAUGAUUUUACCCCUUAUUCAAAUAAAACAGAAAGAACAGAAAAGAAAAUGUAAAGAAUUAAUUGCAACAAUAACCCCAAAUUUUCAAAAAAUUUACAAAUUAGUCACAAAUAUAUAUUUAAAAAUCAAAAGUAAAAAAUAAAAGGAAAAAAAAAGGAAGAAGAAGAAGGAAAAAAAAAAAAAAAAAAGGAAAAAAAAAAAGAAAAAAAAAAAAAAAAAAAACACCACCCUUCCUCUUUAAUGGAGCCACCGGCAAUCCAUACUCAAACCACCACCCACCGCCGACUAAAUCGCCGAAAAAUGCUCCCUAAACUCACUCUCACCGGCCACAUCUUGUGGCAUUGACAUCUUUUCCCUUUCUCAACCCUUCUGCAGCGACAACCACUGCAAUUACUCAUACACCACUUCUACCACCUGCCUAGACCAUACCACUAGCCUCAAACAAUGCUGCCUCCUCCCAGUCUCUUGCCAUAUCGACUAUGAUCGCCACUGCAAACACCACUUAUCCAGCCAACCCACACCAAGCGUUCCCCGUCGCCAACUCCGCUGCUCACCACCACCAAUCCUCGUCGCCCGACACCUCUCAAAACCAUUAGCCACCACACGACGUUGCUUCAUAACCUUACAUAACCACCCCACCCAACCACCUGUCACCACGACAAGUCCGCAAAUCUGCCUGCCGCCACCAUCUUCCUUGUCUACCUAGAUCGCCCAACUCAGUUAAGUACCAAACUUUGGAGCACAAUCGCCGCAAUCUGCACCUCUACACUUUAAGGUCUAUUAUAACUACAACUCGGUCCUUGCGAGAUUUGGCAUUAAUUGAAGAUGAGUUAAUUGCGCUGCUGUUAUAUACAGAAUACGACGGUGUCAGUGGAAUCUGAAUACCAAGGAGUGAAGAGGAACACAGGUAAUGUAUCUUGAGUUCUAAUUAUUUUUUUAUGUUUGAUUUUUAAGUAUAUAUUUGUGUCUAGUUUGUAAUUUUUCAAAAAUUAGGGGUUAUAGUUGCUAUUAACUCUUUUAUUUUUGUUUUAUUUGAAUAAAGGGUAAAUUUAUCUUUUUAUUGAAAAAAUGGAUAAAAAUGACCUUUUGUGCAAUGAAAUGUGGAAAUAGGGGUAAAAAUGUUAAAAAAUUAAAGAUAGGAACGUUUUGCAUAAUAACAUUGAAAUGUAGGGACAUUUUGUGCUAUUUACCCUUUUUUGUGAGUGUCUGAAUAUAUUGACUUUGUUUCAUUUUUUAAGCUAUUUUACCUCUUUACUUUUUUUUUUUUUUUUUUUUUUUGAAUUACCUUCAUACGAAUGUAAACUAUCUUAUAUAAUAUAUUAAAGAUUUUAUAGUUAUAUGUGCUAUUUAUACUACUACUACUACUACUACUACUAUUAUUAUUAUUAUUAUUAUUAUUAUUAUUAUUAUUAUUAUUAUUAUUAUUAUAAAAACUAUAUAAUAUUCUUAUUAAUGUUUGUAAACGUUCACAGCCAAUUGCUUCUCUCAUAAACCCUCUAUUUGGCCUCAUUAUUUAAAACUUUUUUUUUAAAACUCAAUUUAAAUCUAACAAUUCAUUGGAUCCGUAACUUUUAUCAAUUUUUCAAUCACAUAUUUCAUCAACUUUUAUCAAAAUCUAUUAAAAACGUAAUUUUUAUUUAAACCAAACAAGGGCAUAAUUGUAAGUGAAAGAUUUCAUGAAUGGAGAUGUAAGUAACGUCUGCUUUAUUCAUUUUAAAUUCCCUAAAAUUUUUAGUUUCUAAACGAAAUCUUUAAAUAUUAUAUAGAGAAUCAAUUAAAUUUUUGAAUGGCUUCGUGGAAGUAAUUUUUUGAAAUUUAAGUUUAUAUUAUUUCAUUGGCUUUGAAAGAUUUUAUAAUAUAAUUUGUUAGGUGUUGUCAUACUUGGCCAACCUACGUGGGCCUGUGGCCCACUCAAUCUGAACCACGUGGCACUCCAUCCGAAGUGGUUUGUAUAUCCAAGGCCCUUCAUGCUGAGGCCUGUGAAGAUAGCCGAAACCCCAAAGCAGAAGUACUACAUGAGUGGCAAAAGCCCCGAAUCCGAAGCUGAAGCAGAAGUCCCCGAACCAUGAAGGAACGUCUUCCAUGAUCACUUCUCCCAAGAGAUUUUCUACGUAAAGAUCUUUUUAGAAUAAGUGAUGAAACGUUUGUCAUAAGUAUACAUGUCAAGUCUUGUCAUUAGUAUAGGGGUUCUGCAUAAGCAAUAAAUGCGCAGUAAGCUAGCAAGCCAAGGAUGAUGCUUAGGAUUGGAUGUUUGAAUUAAAGAGAUAAGGUCACGUGCUACCUCAUCUAAAGGCUGCCAUUUCACAUGUAACACUAUAAAUACUUCCCUUGUAUAACAUUGAAGGACGAA